This 676-nucleotide ribosomal RNA is filed under the name uncultured bacterium. RNAcentral's name for it is "bacterial SSU rRNA". It matches the Rfam family "Bacterial small subunit ribosomal RNA", at positions 84 to 754 of the family's 1533-position model. The record is from RNAcentral.
CCUGGCGACGAGUGGCGAACGGGUGAGUAAUAUAUCGGAACGUGCCCAAUAGUGGGGGAUAGCCAGGCGAAAGCCGGAUUAAUACCGCAUGAGACCUGAGGGUGAAAGCGGGGGAUUCGCAAGGACCUCGCGCUAAUGGAGCGGCCGAUAUCAGAUUAGGUAGUUGGUGGGGUAAAAGCCUACCAAGCCGACGAUCUGUGGCUGGUCUGAGAGGACGACCAGCCACACUGGGACUGAGACACGGCCCAGACUCCUACGGGAGGCAGCAGUGGGGAAUUUUGGACAAUGGGCGCAAGCCUGAUCCAGCCAUGCCGCGUGCGGGAAGAAGGCCUUCGGGUUGUAAACCGCUUUUGUCAGGGAAGAAAUCCUUUGAGCUAACAUCUUGGAGGGAUGACGGUACCUGAAGAAUAAGCACCGGCUAACUACGUGCCAGCAGCCGCGGUAAUACUUAGGGUGCGAGCGUUAAUCGGAAUUACUGGGCGUAAAGCGUGCGCAGGCGGUCUUGCAAGACAGAUGUGAAAUCCCCGGGCUCAACCUGGGAACUGCAUUUGUGACUGCAAGGCUAGAGUACGGUAGAGGGGGAUGGAAUUCCGCGUGUAGCAGUGAAAUGCGUAGAUAUGCGGAGGAACACCGAUGGCGAAGGCAAUCCCCUGGACCUGUACUGACGCUCAUGCAC